AUUGAACGCUGGCGGCAGGCCUAACACAUGCAAGUCGAGCGAGCGGCGGACGGGUGAGUAAUGUUUGGGAAACUGCCUGAUGGAGGGGGAUAACUACUGGAAACGGUAGCUAAUACCGCACACCAUCAGAUGUGCCCAGAUGGGAUUAGCUAGUAGGGGGGGUAAAGGCUCACCUAGGCGACGAUCCCUAGCUGGUCUGAGAGGAUGACCAGCACAACUGGAAAGGAGACACGGCCCAGACUCGUACGGGAGGCAGCAGUGGGGAAUAUUGGACAAUGGGCGCAAGCCUGAUGCAGCCAUGCCGCGGGUGGGAAGAAGGCCUUCGGGUUGUAAAGCACUUUCAGCGGGGAGGCGUUACCCGCAGAGGAAGCACCGGCUAACUCCGUGCCAGCAGCCGCGGUAAUAC
RNAcentral lists this ribosomal RNA (406 nucleotides) under uncultured bacterium. RNAcentral's name for it is "partial 16S ribosomal RNA". It matches the Rfam family "Bacterial small subunit ribosomal RNA", at positions 29 to 526 of the family's 1533-position model. The record is from RNAcentral.